CUCCUCCCAGCGCGCCUCCGGCCGGCCUCCUCCCCCCCCCGCACCGCCGUUCGUCCUCCUCCCAGCGCGCCUCUGAGCGGCCUCCUCCCCACCGUGCCACUAGCCGGCCUCCUCACCACCGUGCUGCCGUCCGGCCUCCUCCCCCGGCGAGCCCCAGCUCCGGUGACCCCCACCCCCAGCGAGCCCUAGCUCCUCGUCGCAUUUGGGAAGGCAUCGCCGCUGCCGUUCCUCUGCUCGGCUGCAGAUGUAGAUGUCGCCGUUGUUCUUACGCAUAGCUAGGGACCACUCAAGCACGACGCACCCGUCCUCCUCAACUAUAGCAGCAUUCAGGUUUUAAUCAGGAAGUGACAAUAAUUUCGUGGUGAUCAACCAGAAGGACAUUGAUCCUCCACCCCUCGAUCUCCAAGCUAGAGCAGGGUAGAAAUAUAGAUUCAACAAUAAAAUCUGCGGUGCGCCGGGAUCGGAGGUAUGAAGGAUCCCAUGCAGCAUGCUUCAGUUCAAGAAAAAUCUCAAUAAAAGUUCAGAGUAGUUCACACUUCAGUUAGCACCUGGCAUCGGCCGAGGCAACCAUCCCCACCUCCCCUGACCAGAUCCUCCAUGGCCCUCGGCCACGAGCUCGUCCACCAUGGUUACUCGCAGUCGUCAAAGUGGAGCACGGACAUCAGUCCAAGUAGAAUUGAAGCCACCAUCUUCACCAUUUUCUUAUCAUCCUCACAUUAUUUUCUUGGCGAAUUAGCAAUAACUGCUAUUGUAGAAAGGAGCUUGUUGGUGUUUCUGUUUCUUUUUGGUAUGUGUUUAUCCGCAUGUGAGGGCAGUGGACAUGUUGUCCUUCUGAUAAUCUCCUUUAAUAAUAACACACACCUCCUCUUAAUGAGAAGAUGUGCAAAACUUUCCAUGACUCUUAAAAAGAGCCGUUUUGCAUAUGUAUAGUUUUGACCUACUUAAAAAUUGAGCCUAUCAUUUUUUAUGAGUACCAUGAGUAUAAUGUUGUUCUUUUCCUAGCUGAGUCCGGUGAAGUACUAACAAUGAGUUUUUUGGUUGGCCUUCCAGAUCUGGAGUGGAAGCUUAUAUAUGUUGGAUCAGCUGAAGAUGAGAACUAUUAUCAGCAACUUGAGAGUGUGCUUGUUGGCCCUGUGAAUGUUGGGACAUGCUGUUUUGUUCUGGAGAGAUCCGCCUGUUCAUAUUACAGUUGGGCAGCUGCUUUGCUCCGACCUCAGAACAUCAAUUUUCAUGCUCUGGUUGACAUUAUGCUUGCAGCUGAGUGUACUUAUUCUGAUGCUCUGAUUGACCUUUUGCUUGCAGCUGAGCUGUACUUCCUCCUAUUCAAAUGCUUGCACACAAGAAACUAGCAGUUUGAUUACUAAAUUGAUUUUUUAGUUCAGUUCAAUUAAUAAAUUUACUUCGGUUCAAAUUCUUGUUAUAGUUUCUGGUCAAAUGUAUUGUUUCAGUUCAGGCCUCUAGAGUAGCUGGUGGAUCCAAGUGAAAGUGCCCAUUAACAGUCAUAUCAUUUUCAUUGUGAACUUAUAAAUGUUACUAUACAUGAACUUGGUUGUUCUUUUUACAAGAACUUGUACAUUGCCUUGUCAGGUUGUGCGUUUACUAACCAGAAGUCUACCCCAGUUGAGCAAAGAAAAUUCUACAUCAGUUCAGACUAAAAAACACCAUAAAUUUAAGAGGAAGAAAAAAAAUUAAUGAGAGAAAAAGCUGAGGUGGCUCACUAAAGAAACCCGAGAAAGCUAAAGUUUUGCUGCAUAUCAAACAUGUAUGCAUGUUUUGUGUUUAAACAUGUUUUGGUUCAUUGACAAUUUGAACUUGCAACCUUACUAUCUUGUACUAUGGUCUAAAAAAUUGUACCCAUGCAGGUACUUGAAAGGUGCAGACUUGGCAGCUAUGUGGUUCGUUCAACAACAGUGCAAUGACAAAAAGAACAUUAGUUCCAAAAAUUAUGCAUGAGGUUUGGGAGCCAAACAACUGGAGGUUCAAAGAUUGUCGUGGAGCAAGUUCAAGAGUUUGGUUUCAUGUGAAAAAUGUGAUUUUUUGGUCAGGAUUUUGCAUGAUUGAUAGCCAUCAGUGGUAGCCGGCGAGCAGUUCAAGCCCGCAUGCGCGAGCCGCCCAUCGUCUUCCACACGUGAUCCUAUUGCUUGAUGAUGCUUGACAUGAACUCAACAAGAUGGAUGGAAUUGUCGCAAUGUAAUGUAAAUGAAUAUGGUAAACAAACUUGGACACCAGAUUGUUUUAGAGGUGGAGUUUGUGCUCCAGUUGAGUUGCAGCAGAUUGUGGCUGCUGGUUGUUUCAAGUGAAGGUGGUCGGGUAUUACUUGUGUAGGACUGAAUGAAUCUUGUAUGUAAAGGAAACUGGAUCGAAUAGUUGUCAGUAUUAAGAUUUAAAAUUACAUUUUGAUCCA
Triticum aestivum (bread wheat) is the source of this 2404-nucleotide long non-coding RNA. RefSeq lists it as uncharacterized. The transcript is spliced from 6 exons. NCBI's taxonomy places the organism in Eukaryota, Viridiplantae, Streptophyta, Magnoliopsida, Poales, Poaceae. The record is from RefSeq and is a predicted model, not a curated record.